CAGCCAGACUCCUACGGGAGGCAGCAGUGGGGAAUAUUGCACAAUGGGGGAAACCCUGAUGCAGCGACGCCGCGUGAGUGAAGAAGUAUUUCGGUCUGUAAAGCUCUAUCAGCAGGGAAGAAAAUGACGGCACCUGACUAAGAAGCCCCGACUAACUACGUGCCAGCAGCCGCGGUAAUACGUAGGGGGCAAGCGUUAUCCGGAUUUACUGGGUGUAAAGGGAGCGUAGACGGCAGUGCAAGUCUGGAGUGAAAGGCGGGGGCUCAACCCCCGGACUGCUCUGGAAACUGUACGGCUGGAGUGCAGGAGAGGUAAGUGGAAUUCCUAGUGUAGCGGUGAAAUGCGUAGAUAUUAGGAGGAACACCAGUGGCGAAGACGGCUUACUGGACUGUAACUGACGUUGAGGCUCGAAAGCGUGGGGAGCAAACAGGAUUAGAUACCCUGGUA
Molecule: ribosomal RNA, 447 nt
Filed under: uncultured bacterium
Lineage: Bacteria
Description: bacterial SSU rRNA
Rfam family: Bacterial small subunit ribosomal RNA
Source: RNAcentral